Molecule: ribosomal RNA, 327 nt
Filed under: uncultured eukaryote
Lineage: Eukaryota
Description: partial 18S ribosomal RNA
Rfam family: Eukaryotic small subunit ribosomal RNA
Source: RNAcentral
CCCUUAGAUGUUCUGGGCCGUACACGCGCUACACUGAAGGAGGCAGCGUGUACUCCUGGAUCGAAAGAUUUGGGUAACCCGCGAAUCUCCUUCGUGCUAGGGAUUGAGGUUUGCAAUUAUCCUUCAUGAACGAGGAAUUCCCAGUAAGUGCAAGUCAUAAGCUUGCGCUGACUACGUCCCUGCCCUUUGUACACACCGCCCGUCGCUACUACCGAUUGAAUGAUUUAGUGAGGACUUCGGACUGGGACCGAUGCGGCUUUCGGGCUGCGUCGGUAUUCUGGAAAGAUGUCCAAACUGUAUCAUUUAGAGGAAGUAAAAGUCGUANCA